This 182-nucleotide unclassified non-coding RNA is filed under the name uncultured Agaricomycetes. RNAcentral describes it as "sequence contains ITS1". Lineage: Eukaryota; Fungi; Basidiomycota; Agaricomycetes. The record is from RNAcentral.
AAGAAUGAGGCCAUCUGGUCUCGAUCCCACGCCUCUCUGGCUGUGCGCCAUGCUGCACGCUUGAGAACACGUGAUUCUCACACCUGUGCACCUUUGGAAACGAGGGACUUUUUCGUCUCUCGUGUCUGUAUCUACAAACUUAACAGUCAAGAAAGUCAUUUUGUUUUCUUUAAUGAAAAAUA